RNAcentral lists this ribosomal RNA (440 nucleotides) under uncultured bacterium. RNAcentral describes it as "partial 16S ribosomal RNA". It matches the Rfam family "Bacterial small subunit ribosomal RNA", at positions 338 to 795 of the family's 1533-position model. The record is from RNAcentral.
CCUACGGGAGGCAGCAGUGGGGGAUAUUGCACAAUGGAGGGAACUCUGAUGCAGCGACGCCGCGUGAGGGAAGAAGGUUUUCGGAUUGUAAACCUCUGUCUUCGGUGACGAAACGAGACGGUAGCCGAGGAGGAAGCCACGGCUAACUACGUGCCAGCAGCCGCGGUAAUACGUAGGUGGCAAGCGUUGUCCGGAAUUACUGGGUGUAAAGGGAGCGUAGGCGGGAAAGAAAGUUGAAUGUUUAAGGUACGGGGUUCAACCGUAAAAGCGUUCAAAACUGUUUUUCUUGAGGGGAGGAGAGGUAAGCGGAAUUCCUAGGGUAGAGGUGAAAUGCGUUAAUAUUAGGAGGAACACCAGUGGCGAAGGCGGCUUACUGGGCUUUAACUGACGCUGAGGCUCGAAAGCGUGGGUAGCAAACAGGAUUAGAUACCCUUGUAGUC